This 253-nucleotide ribosomal RNA is filed under the name uncultured bacterium. Its description in RNAcentral is "partial 16S ribosomal RNA". It matches the Rfam family "Bacterial small subunit ribosomal RNA", at positions 524 to 776 of the family's 1533-position model. The record is from RNAcentral.
UACGAAGGGUGCAAGCGUUACCCGGAAUUACUGGGCGUAAAGCGUGCGUAGGUGGUUUGUUAAGUCUGAUGUGAAAGCCCUGGGCUCAACCUGGGAAUGGCAUUGGAUACUGGCGAGCUAGAGUGCGGUAGAGGGGUGUGGAAUUCCCGGUGUAGCAGUGAAAUGCGUAGAGAUCGGGAGGAACAUCUGUGGCGAAGGCGACACCCUGGACCAGCACUGACACUGAGGCACGAAAGCGUGGGGAGCAAACAGG